GGAGAUAUAUAUUACAUUAAAUUUAGGAGUUGUUCGGUAAUGAUUUUAAAAUUGGAUUUUUGUUUUUUUAAUUAAAAAGGUAAAAACAAAACUAAAAAAUGUGUUCGGUAAGAUGAUUUUGUUUUUUGUUUUUAAAAUUAAAAAACAAAACUUAAUAAAUUUUAAAAUCAGAUUUUUGUUGAUUUUAAAAAUUUUAAAAACACUUUUUUUUUUCAGUUAGCUUCUCUCUCGCCUAUUUUCUCAGAAGCUCAAGUUCUCUUCAGCUACUUCACAGGAGCUAUAGAUGGGACUCAUAUCUCUGUUCAUGUCUCUAUUGAUGAACAAAUAUCAUAUCGAGGUCGGAAGAUGGAUACAACUCAAAACGUCACGUGUAUAUAUUCAUUUGACAUGAAGUUCACAUAUGUUGUUGAUGGAUGGGAAGGAUCGGCUAAUAAUGCAUGAAUUCUUUUAGAAUGUGCCAGGAAUUCAAAUUAUGAAUUCCCAGCUCCACCUCAUGGUAAGUGUUAUCAAACUUAUUAUGUUUAUUGACAUUACUUUGUAUUAAUAUUUAUAUAAAAAAAAAAUUAAUAUCAAUUAACAUUGUUUAAGAAAUUAUUAUCGGGUUGAUUUUGGAUAUACAAACAUCUCUGGUUUUUUUUC
Molecule: long non-coding RNA, 639 nt
Organism: Cannabis sativa
Lineage: Eukaryota; Viridiplantae; Streptophyta; Magnoliopsida; Rosales; Cannabaceae
Exons: 2
Source: RefSeq, a predicted model, not a curated record